Molecule: transfer RNA, 67 nt
Filed under: Phasianella solida
Lineage: Eukaryota; Metazoa; Mollusca; Gastropoda; Trochida; Phasianellidae
Description: tRNA-Ser
Source: RNAcentral
AAUUACUCGCCCGGGGCACAGGCUGUCUUGAAAACAGGCUGCGAAUGUUCGACUCAUUCAGUAAUUU